CUUGCUGGAAUGGUCUAGUUGGUUAUGACGACUGCCUAACACGCAGUAGGUCCCGAGUUCGAUUCUCGGUGAAGG
Molecule: transfer RNA, 75 nt
Filed under: Perkinsus olseni
Lineage: Eukaryota; Perkinsozoa; Perkinsida; Perkinsidae
Description: tRNA-Val
Rfam family: tRNA (bases 10-70)
About the family: Transfer RNA (tRNA) molecules are approximately 80 nucleotides in length.
Source: RNAcentral